CUGGUACGAAAGCUGGCAAUUGUAUCCUGGGAUUUAUAGCGCUUUCCCCUGUUUGUUUCCUGGGAUGUGCUGACUCUCAGCUGCCUAAUAACCAAGCUCCUGUUACUGUAAAGAUCACGUACAAUAGACGUCACUGUGUUUGUCAGUAAAGUGGAAACAUUAUAGGAAUAUCUGAUAAAUUCAUUUGUGCUGAACAAGACAAUGUCUGACAAGAACCAAACCUCAGACCUUCCUGAUGCACACAGAGGGCGUCUAGAGGAAAGGAGAGUCUGCCGGGGCUGUGCACACAGUUACUUACUGCUCGCCCUCCCUGCCGGUGAGUAGUAAUACGCGAGAGUCUGCC
This is a long non-coding RNA of Bombina bombina (fire-bellied toad), 343 nucleotides long. RefSeq lists it as uncharacterized. The record is from RefSeq and is a predicted model, not a curated record. The transcript has 3 exons. Lineage: Eukaryota; Metazoa; Chordata; Amphibia; Anura; Bombinatoridae.